AGUGAACGUUGGCGGCGUGGAUUAGGCAUGCAAGUCGAGCGAGAACCGUAGCAAUACGGGGACAGCGGCGAAAGGGACAGUAAUGUGUAGGUACCUACCCCGAGGUCUGGGAUAGCUGCGGGAAACUGCAGGUAAUACCGAAUAAUGUCUUCGGACCAAAGGUGUGAUUCCACCUUGGGAGGGGCCUGCAUCCUAUUAGCUAGUUGGCGGGGUAAUGGCCCACCAAGGCAACGAUGGGUAGCGGGUGUGAGAGCACGACCCGCGUCAUUGGGAGUGAGACACUGCCCAGACACCUGCGGGUGGCUGCAGUCGAGGAUCUUCGGCGAUGGGCGAAAGCCUGACCGAGCGACGCCGCGUGCGGGAUGAAGGCCUUCGGGUUGUAAACCGCUGUCGUAGAGGAGGAAAUGCAGGGGGGUUCUCCCUUCUGUUUGACCUAUUCUAGGAGGAAGUACGGGCUAAGUUCGUGCCAGCCGCCGCAGUAA
RNAcentral lists this ribosomal RNA (482 nucleotides) under uncultured bacterium. Its description in RNAcentral is "partial 16S ribosomal RNA". It matches the Rfam family "Bacterial small subunit ribosomal RNA", at positions 28 to 523 of the family's 1533-position model. The record is from RNAcentral.